UUUAUUUAUUUAUUUAUUUUUUUGUCUUUUUGCUAUUUCUUUGGGCCGAUCCUGCGGCAUAUGGAGGUUCCCAGGCUAGGGGUCGAAUCGGAGCUGUAGCCACUGGCCUACACCAGAGCCACAGCAACGCGGGAUCCGAGCCACGUCUGCAACCUACACCACAGCUCACGGCAACGCUGGAUCGUUAACCCACUGAGCAAGGGCAGGGACUGAACCCGCAACCUCAUGGUUCCCAGUCGGAUUCGUUAACCACUGCGCCACGAUGGGAACUCCAGUAAUUGCUUUAAAUGUAAAGAGACAACAUGCUCCAAUCAAAAGACAGAAUGCCUGAAUGGAUACCGAAAUAAGACUUGCACAUCCGCUUCCUGCAGGUGAUUCACUUCAGAACUAAAGACACCCACAAACGGAAAGUGCGGUGACGGUGAAAGGCAUUCUACCCACGUGGCAGACGUCAGGGCGGCAAUGCUUACAUCAUACAAAGCAGACUUUAAAACAAAGACUGUUGCAGGAGACAAAAAGGACAGAGCAGCCCGAUCACAGGAUUAUUCCAAGAAGAGCUAACGCUUGUAAAUACACAUGCACCCCGCAUGAGAGCACUUGAAUAUCGAAAGCAAGCAUGAGCAGACAUAACGGGGACACUGACCCGACAGGAUAAUGGUCAGGGACCCACCACCCCACCGACAUCCACCAACAGGUCAUCCAGACGGAAGCUCGACAAGGACACACGGGCCGUGAGCAGCACAUUAGAUCAAUUCUCUCUCUCUCUCUCUCUCCCAUCACCUCCAAAAGCGGCAGGAGAUAGACUUGUUCCAAGCGCAAAGGAAACACACUCCUUUGCCACAAAAUAAGCCUUGCGAAUUUUAAGACAACUGAAACCACAUCAAGCAUUUUUUUCUGACCCCAACGCUAUGAGACUAGAAAUCAACUACAAGAAAAUAACGGCAAAGCCCCACAGACAUGUGGAGGCUACACGAUACGCUUCUCAACAACCAGGGGAUCCAGGCAAAGCAGAAGCCCCCAAAUACCCGGGAACAAAGGAAAAUGGAACCGCAAUCAUUCAAAGUCUAUGGGACGCAGCCCAAAGAGUUAAGAGGACUUGUAUGACGCUACAGGCUUGCUCCAGGAAAAAAACCCUCAACCAACUUAGAGGAACCAGAACAGGAAGGGACAAAACCCAAGGAGCAAAGAAAUCACAAAGAUCAGAGCAGAAAUAAAGGCAAGUGAGUCUAACAAUAGAAAAGGCCAAUGAAACUCAGAGGCAGCUCUUUGAAAAGACAAAAUUGAUCAACAUUUGGCCAGACUCACCAAGAGGGAAAAAAAAAGGGCCCAAAUCAAUAACAUCAGAAAUAAAAAAAAAAGAAAAGUUAUGACAGACACCACAGAAGGGCACAGGAUCAUGAGAGACUACAACAAACAGCUAUACGCCAAUAAAACGGACAACCUAAGAAGAAAUGAACAAAUUCCUAGAAAUGUAGGCUCAUCCCAUUUGGACCAGGAAGUAAAAGAAAACUAUGCACAGACCAAUUAGGAGCAAUGACAUUGAAUCAGUCCUUGAAAAAUUCUCAAACAAAAGUGCAGGACCGGAUGGCUUCACAGGUAAACUGCUCCCAAACAUUUAGAGAAGCGUUAACCCCAAACCUUCUCCAACUGCUGCAAAAAAAAAGGAGGAGAUGGAACCCUUCUGAACUCACUCUAGAAGGCCAGCACCACCCACGACAAAACCAAAGACAGCACAAACAAAGAAAACGGCAAGUCAGUAUCACUGAUCCACAAAGGUGCAAAAAUCCUCAGCAAAACCUGAGCAAACCAAAACCAAAUUCACCGCACAGAAAGGCUCAGACACAAGGAUCAUUUGGAGUUUAUCCCAAGGAUGCAAGGAUAGUUCAGCAUCUGCUAAGCACUGUGAUGCCCAAGGAUAACAAACUGCAGAAGAAAAGCAGGAGUUCCUGCUGCGGCUCAGUGGGAAUGAACCUGACAAGCAUCCACGAGGAUGCAGGUUCGAUCCCUGGCCUCGCUCAGUGGGUUAAGGACUCGGCGUUGCUGCAAGCUGUGGUGUAGGUUGCUGCACGGCUGUGGCUGUGGCGUGGGCCAGCAGCUGCAGCUCCGAUCUGACCCCUAGACUGGGAACUACCAUAUGCCCUGGCUAGAGCCCUAAAAAAAAAAAAGAAAAAAAGUUUGGAUGGAAACACAGAAGACCCCAAAUUGCCAAAAUACUCUUAAUAACAGAACGAGACAUAUCACGCUGCCCAGUUUCAGACGUCGCCACAAAGCUAUUGUGAAGAAGCCUGGCCCAAGAAACAGACACAUACAUCAAUGGAAUAGAAUCAAGAGCCCAGAAAUGGUCAAUUGAUCUAUGACAAUGCAGAAAAGAUGGUCCUUUUAUGAGCUGAGGUGCAGGUCACAGAUGUGGCACGGAUCCUGCGUGGCUGUGGCUGUGGUGUAGGCUGGUGGCUGCAGCUCCGAUGGGACCUCUAGUGUGGGAACCUCCAUAGGACAUAGGUGUGGCCCUAAAAAGACAAAAAAAGGCAAAACGACAAAAUAAAACACAACGAAACCUUAAUAGGGUCUACACUUAGGUGGGCUGGCACCACAAAGACCCAGGGCUACCAUUUACCAUGCGGACAGAGUACAGAUGGACAGACAGGCAGGUGGUCAACUCAGUGGCCAAGGAAGAUGUGCCAGAUUUCUUUGGAUCGGUAAACGCAGCCUCUGGUCCUAAUAGCUCCUAGCGGGCUUGGUGAGAAAGCCUUUCUCAGCUGGAUAAGGAGGAUCUCCUCCAAGGCCCCCUCGGGUGAGGGAGGGCCGGGUGGGGGACCAGCGCAGUUCACCUCCCAAGGUGUGCGGGUGAGACGGGAAGGAACAGAUUCCCAGGACAGAGGGAGCCCUCCGUUGAGGUCCCAAGGUUCGUGCCAGGCAGCUUCCUGCGACAUCAUGGAAGGAUGGGUGCGCUAAAAAGCCACGGUGCUUCUCCACACUGCUGGAUCAAUGAGCAGAGUCAUCCGUGAGACGGCACGACCUAGAACGGCCAUGCAUCGCCUGGAAAACCUACAAAACACGCGCAGGACAGAGAGGAAGCUGUCUGACGGGACCAGAGGAGAAACGCAGAGGACAGAGGUCCGAGCCUUUGGGUGGCAAACUCAGCAUCAUAGAGAUGUCAAGUCUUGUAAACUCACAGCAGUGCCUGCAGAAACGGAAAACGCUUCCAGGAAGUUUUCUUACCGAACCAGGUGCAUGUGCUCGAUGGGCAGCCUGCCCAACGCGGAGACGCCAGGGUUCGCCGCACAGAAAGCUGCCCGGGGAUGGGAACAGGGCGAGGGGCUGGGGUAUCUGCUGGAGAAGCAGCGGGGUGGUCCAGGGAGAGGGGAGCAAGGCAGAAAGGUGACUGGACAUAAGAACAAGGUGCAUCUUUCUGAACAGGUGCGACGAAGCUGCAAGCUUCUUCUGGGGUGGCACCUUCAGAAAGGGGGUUCUUGGCUCGUUGUGGGGGUGGACUUUGAGGCCGGCAGUCCUGGCCGGUCUUAACCUGCUUGUGUCCAAAUGAGACACAGCUGAAACCAAGUUCCUGGAAAGCAACAGGGCCAAACCCCUUAAACCGGCUCAGAGGACUUGCAAAUCUUGCAGCAACGAUGCAAGGAGCUGAUGGGGGAGGCUGGUUCCAGGUGCGAGGAAAUCUUACCCAUUGUCACCUUCAGGUCAGCAGGACAAGCUCAUUUUUAUUUUGGUGACAGGCUGUGGCAAUCAAAUGUUAUCACUCAACUCACCAGUGACGAAAAAGAGAAUGAAUGUGGGAAACGAAUCCGAGUAGCAUCCAUGAGGACGCAGGUUCGAUCCCAGGUUUCACCCAGUGGGUUGGGGAGCCGCUGUGGCUGUGGGGUAGGCCAGCAGCUGUAGCUCCAGUUUGACCCCCUAAUCUGGGAACUUCCUAUACCGCAGGUGUGGCCCU
This 3943-nucleotide long non-coding RNA is filed under the name Sus scrofa (pig). Its description in RNAcentral is "lncRNA (ENSSSCG00000052741.1)". The record is from RNAcentral. Lineage: Eukaryota; Metazoa; Chordata; Mammalia; Artiodactyla; Suidae.